This is a long non-coding RNA of Armigeres subalbatus, 573 nucleotides long. RefSeq lists it as uncharacterized. Lineage: Eukaryota; Metazoa; Arthropoda; Insecta; Diptera; Culicidae. The transcript has 3 exons. The record is from RefSeq and is a predicted model, not a curated record.
CCGCUCGCGGAAAACUGGAUAUGAUAGGAUCUGUCAAAGUUAACACCGUCGUGUGUCUUCUUCUUAUUUUUACUUGGAUUCGUCUAUAAGCAAUGAUAGGGGAAAAAUAAAAUGGCGCUUUGUUGACUGAUUGUUCACUAUCUGGAAAUCGUGGGCAUCUUAAACUUGUGUAUGUGUAAACUAACUGUAUUUUCAUUAAUUUGGUUGAAAUUUUGUUAUUUUUUUGUAUAUAAAAAAUGAUUGAAACUUGUACUUCGGAUUCUGGUGUAAUUGUGUCGUCAUUCGGAUUAGUUAUCCAAUAUAACAAGAAUUCAUGCAGCAUUUUUAAUAACCUUUUCAAGGGAGGGAGCCAUAUGUCCGGCGUCCGCAGAAUUUUGCUGGUAGCCACAAAAAAUGAUAAAAAAUGACUCCUCCUUGUCAUGAUUGACCAAACAAUAUUAUAUUUCUUAUGUUAAUAAAAAUGUUAUUUUAUGAACCAUGAUGUUUCAUUAGCAUACGCGUUCGAAUGAUCACUCUUAUUUAAAAAUUAAUAAAGAAAAACAUGGUCCAAAAACUGGCAGUAUCCACAGAUAC